GGGGAUAUAGCUCAGCUGGUAGAGUGCUUAUCUUGCAUGCAUAAGGCCCUGGGUUCAAUCCCCAGCACCAUCA
Non-coding RNA from Ictidomys tridecemlineatus (thirteen-lined ground squirrel), 73 nucleotides. Lineage: Eukaryota; Metazoa; Chordata; Mammalia; Rodentia; Sciuridae. The record is from Rfam.